This 69-nucleotide transfer RNA is filed under the name Marinobacter sp. RNAcentral describes it as "tRNA-Ser". Lineage: Bacteria; Pseudomonadati; Pseudomonadota; Gammaproteobacteria; Pseudomonadales; Marinobacteraceae. RNAcentral also lists the same sequence under 1 other name. The record is from RNAcentral.
AGACAGUUAUAAUUGCUGGCAGCACUCAUAAUGCUGGGGUCGGCGGUUCGACUCCGCCCCUUGCUACCA